GAAAAAUAGAAAUAUCUAUUUAAAAAAUUUGAUUUGGAUCAUUGCUGAUUGUGAAGAAAGGAAGAGCUGAACUUUUUUGAGGAUUUAUCUUGGAAAACUUGGACAGUUAAGAAGUGUCUGUCUCUGACCUUUAUACAGCUGUGGUAAAGACAUCACACUCCCAGUCGUCCUACGUAGAAACAACCUGGAAUCACAAACAGCAAAUAAUGGCGGCACCCAUGAUAAAAACAAAUUGCCUUUACAGAAAGAGGAGCUCCUCCAUCAGGCUUACCAAAAUGUACAGUAGCUGCAUAUUCCUUAAAAAUGAUGAAGAAGCACCACAGGAAGCCUAUAUCUUGAUUCCAUUUUUUACAGAUUUAAUCCUACUAAGAAAAAUUGAGUGAUCCUCUUCCGAUGGAUAUGGUUAUGGAGCAUUUUCAGCCAAGACAUUGA
Polypterus senegalus (gray bichir) is the source of this 432-nucleotide long non-coding RNA. RefSeq lists it as uncharacterized. NCBI's taxonomy places the organism in Eukaryota, Metazoa, Chordata, Cladistia, Polypteriformes, Polypteridae. The transcript has 3 exons. The record is from RefSeq and is a predicted model, not a curated record.